CUGGAGGCUGAAUCAGCCAAUGGGAACUUCCGGUCACACCGCGACUCCCAGGGAGGGGAGGGGCUGGAGGCUGAAUCAGCCAAUGGCCAAAGAUCUAACCAACUGUGACUAUACAAAGAAGCCUCGGUAAAAAUGCCAAAGGACCGGGUUCACAAGCUUCUGGAGAUUGGGAAGAGUGCUGUGCGGGGAGGGAUGGAAGCCCCACAGCCUUUCCCCAGACCUGUCCCUAUGAUCUCUUCCUCUGGCGGUUGAUUCUUAGCCUUUGUCACCUCCCUGAGCCACCAGUAAAGAAACCCUGCGAGUAACCAGCACAGCAAGGAACCAGAACUGCAGAAGCCACAUUUAAGUUUACAUCUGAGCACCUACAGAGGGAGACUCCUUCCAGUUAUACCUUCCUCAUACGUAGGUUCAGGGCCCCGUUCCCCUGACUCUCAGGGCUGCCCGCACCCACAGACUUCACCAAUGGCACUACGGACGGAUGCGGCCCGGCACCCGCGUGCCCUGGAGAGACCACGGCAAAACAGAAACAUUAAAUAAAAGGUUUCCACAGUAUCUUGAACUACUUUACUAGUAUGGAUGGCAUAACUUGAAGCGUCCCGAAGCUGCUUAGGCUCAGACGGCAGAACCAGAUGACAACAGCUGAGUUUUCUGACAUCUAACAGACCCGUUAAAGAUCACUUAUCCAUAAAGCAGCUCAAAUGACAUGGCUAUUUAACAGUUAAGUUGUUAAAAUAAUUUAAAAUGGUUAAAAUACACUAUAGAUGCUUAUAAUUAAAACAAAAAUAAAACUGAAUAGUGGUGGGAGGUUGUGAAUAAUGUUAUGUUAAGAAGAACAGAUUAACUGAUAAAAUGCAAAUAAAGACCUGAUGAUGAUUUUACAGGAAACGUCUGGAACUAUUCACUAAGAUCUGCUGACAGGGUGACAAAGCAGCGCCACCAACUUGUACCGUAAGUCACAGGUUCAGCUGUGCUCUUCCUCAACACAGGUUUCCACGCGAUGCUGCCCCUACAGGUGUAUUCAGUACUCCCUGAACAGAAAGCAGUGCUCCUACUGACCUUAGCAGGUUUACAGACGAGGAAUUAGAGAAGCAAAUAAGCCAAAUCAGAAGGAAUAAAAGAAGUUCUGGGAGACACACACGGUCCAGGUUGAUAAGGAAGCCAGACUCAAAGUCCUUAACACAAAACCCACACUUCGUCAUCUGGAGCAACCCAACGUCCUAUUCUAGAAAUCGGAUGGAAGGGCUUCUGCGAAAGUCACCGAGGGAGAGGGAUCCGGCGGGCAUGCCAAGUGGCUACGAUAUACAGUUACCGGAAAGAAGACCCGUCACAACACGCUUCACGCACCCAGAACAGUCAGCUUAACAAAGCAGGUAUACUCACUCGCGGAAUGUAACGGUCUUUUCUGCCAUGAUUGGGAUCCUCCUGAACCUCGGGGGGCCAAAGGACCGCAAUAAAAGAGACCACUGCGGGGUGGGGAGAAGGAAGGAUACAGACUGGGAUAAAGUGCCAGGGAGAUGAACCUGGGGACAUAGGAUUUAAUACAAGUACACUACGGGGCGUCUGGGUGGCUCAGUCGGUUAAGCGUCCCACCCUUGGUUUCAGCUCGGGUCAUUAUCUUGUGGUUUGUGAGAUCUGACAACGACCCCCUUGUCAGGCUCUGUGCUGACAGCAUGGAGC
Long non-coding RNA from Felis catus (domestic cat), 1677 nucleotides. RefSeq lists it as uncharacterized. The record is from RefSeq and is a predicted model, not a curated record. NCBI's taxonomy places the organism in Eukaryota, Metazoa, Chordata, Mammalia, Carnivora, Felidae. The transcript is spliced from 3 exons.